RNAcentral lists this ribosomal RNA (253 nucleotides) under uncultured bacterium. RNAcentral's name for it is "partial 16S ribosomal RNA". It matches the Rfam family "Bacterial small subunit ribosomal RNA", at positions 524 to 776 of the family's 1533-position model. The record is from RNAcentral.
UACAGAGGCCCCAAGCGUUACUGAGAAUCACUGGGUUUAAAGGGUGCGUAGGUGGCGCGUUAAGUCCGUUGUGAAAUCCCUUGGCUCAACCAAGGAAUGGCUUCGGAUACUGGCGUGCUUGAGGCCGGUAAGGGUCACUGGAACUGACGGUGGAGCGGUGAAAUGCGUAGAUAUCGUCAGGAACGCCAAUGGUGAAGACAGGUGACUGGGCCGGUUCUGACACUGAGGCAUGAAAGCGUGGGGAGCGAACGGG